AUUGAACGCUGGCGGCAGGCCUAACACAUGCAAGUCGAACGAGUGGCGGACGGGUGAGUAAUGUCUGGGAAACUGCCUGAUGGCGGGGGAUAACUACUGGAAACAGUAGCUAAUAACGCAUACCAGCGGAUGUGCCCAGAUGGGAUUAGCUAGUAGGUGGGGUAAAGGCGCACCUAGGCGACGAUCCCUAGCUGGUCUGAGAGGAUGACCAGCCACACGGGAACUGAGACACGGGCCAGACUCCUACGGGAGGCAGCAGUGGGGAAUAUUGCACAAUGGGGGCAAGCCUGAUGCAGCCAUGCCGCGUGUAUGAAGAAGGCCUUCGGGUUGUAAAGUACUUUCAGCGGGGAGGCGUUACUCGCAGAAGAAGCACCGGCUAACUCCGUGCCAGCAGCCGCGGUAAUUC
RNAcentral lists this ribosomal RNA (406 nucleotides) under uncultured bacterium. RNAcentral's name for it is "partial 16S ribosomal RNA". It matches the Rfam family "Bacterial small subunit ribosomal RNA", at positions 30 to 526 of the family's 1533-position model. The record is from RNAcentral.